Non-coding RNA from Salmo salar (Atlantic salmon), 54 nucleotides. The record is from Rfam. NCBI's taxonomy places the organism in Eukaryota, Metazoa, Chordata, Actinopteri, Salmoniformes, Salmonidae.
GAAUGCAACAACUGUAAGUCGCUCUGGAUAAGAGCGUCUGUUAAAUGACUUAAA